GGAAUAUUGGUCAAUGGUCGGAAGACUGAACCAGCCAUGCCGCGUGAGGGAGGAAGGCCCUAGUUGGUUGUAAACCUCUUUUACGGGGGAGCAAUAAGGCGGACGCGUCCGCCGAUGAGAGUACCCCGGGAAUAAGCAUCGGCUAACUCCGUGCCAGCAGCCGCGGUAAUACGGAGGAUGCGAGCGUUAUCCGGAUUUAUUGGGUUUAAAGGGUGCGUAGGCGGAUCGGUAAGUCAGCGGUGAAAUGUCCCGGCUCAACCGGGUCACUGCCGUUGAUACUGCCGGACUGGAGUACAAACGGCGCAGGCGGAAUGUGUCAUGUAGCGGUGAAAUGCAUAGAUAUGACACAGAACACCGUUCGCGAAGGCGGCUUGCGAGCAUGGUACUGACGCUGAGGCACGAAGGCGUGGGGAUCGAACA
This 420-nucleotide ribosomal RNA is filed under the name uncultured bacterium. Its description in RNAcentral is "bacterial SSU rRNA". It matches the Rfam family "Bacterial small subunit ribosomal RNA", at positions 358 to 774 of the family's 1533-position model. The record is from RNAcentral.